AACCCUUGGUGAGGGUACCUUCUCAAUAGAUCCUUAUACCUUUCCCAUGCAUCGUAAAGGGUUUCUAAAUCCAUCUGUACAAAGGAAGAGAUAUCAUUCCUCAAUGUGGCU
Gossypium hirsutum (cotton) is the source of this 111-nucleotide non-coding RNA. The record is from Rfam. Lineage: Eukaryota; Viridiplantae; Streptophyta; Magnoliopsida; Malvales; Malvaceae.